UCAAUCCGACCUCACCCAGAGUGAACGGCAAAUUACUGAAAAUCUUUUAAUCAUGGUGCCAUGGGAGAAAAAACAAAACAAAUCGAGAAACCUCAUCUGAAACUGCUCUCAUUCAACGAUAAUGGAUAACAUUUAUUGCAAGUUGCAAGUGAUUGAACAAGUCUGCUUGGCUUCUGCAUAUCUAACAAGCCAAAACAGCAGGAAAGCAAGCAAAGACAUUUUCAGUACAACUCACUUUCCUUGUGAGUGUGGAUCACACAAUCUGAAGUCGGGUAGGAAACGCAGGUGAGCAGGUAACCCUCCUUCAUUUGGUUGUCGUCAAGAAACGAACCAUCCGACUGAUCGACUGAGCCCGAUGCAAUCUUCCCCGCACAGGUGGAGCACGCGCCAGCCCUGCACGAGUAAGGCAGCUCCACUCCCGCAGAUUCAGCAGAGUCGAGGAUGUAACAAUCAUCGGGCGCCUCAAAUUCACACUCCUCGCCGUCUGCUCCGAUCAGUUUGACCUUGUACGUGGCCAUUGCACAUGCCCUGAAAUCAGCCCUUGCUCUCAACCCGAAGGCUUUGGUGAUGCUCUUCACAGACCCCAACGAGGCCGGGACUCUUACAAACGAAGAACCGGUUUGGUUUUGUGGCACCACGCUCGUGAUCAGGGAGCUGGUCGGAAGCCGUGCAGUCGCCAUUUUCUCCUGAAAAAAUGAUGCCAUUUCAAACACGUUGGCGAGUGGCAAACAACACAAAUGCAGCAUUGCAUUUUCAUGAAUGUAUACUUAGAAAUUGAGUGCAAAGACGCGUUGAAUGUUUAAUGGCAAUGGCGAUAUAUGGUAUGUAU
Molecule: long non-coding RNA, 829 nt
Filed under: Salvia miltiorrhiza (redroot sage)
Lineage: Eukaryota; Viridiplantae; Streptophyta; Magnoliopsida; Lamiales; Lamiaceae
Description: long non-coding RNA (SMIL_LNC006648)
Source: RNAcentral